GACAGAGGGUGCAAACGUUGUUCGGAAUUACUGGGCGUAGAGCGUGUGUAGGCGGCCAAGCAAGUCGGAUGUGAAGGCCCCGGGCUCAACCCGGGAAGUGCACUCGAUACUGCGUGGCUUGAGUGUCGGAGAGGUUGGUGGAAUUCUCGGUGUAGAGGUGAAAUUCGUAGAUAUCGAGAGGAACACCGGCGGCGAAGGCGGCCAACUGGACGAACACUGACGCUGAGACACGAAAGCGUGGGGAGCAAACAGG
RNAcentral lists this ribosomal RNA (253 nucleotides) under uncultured bacterium. Its description in RNAcentral is "partial 16S ribosomal RNA". It matches the Rfam family "Bacterial small subunit ribosomal RNA", at positions 524 to 776 of the family's 1533-position model. The record is from RNAcentral.